AUGCAAUUUAACGCCGCAUUCAACAUCUGAGUAAUAAUGCACUGAUGUAAAAUGUAUCAUAGAAAAUAGGAACAGUAUCUACAAAUAUAGUGGAAACUUACAAUCUAGUGUUUCAGUUCCAGUUUCCGAUGGCACUUUCUGGAGUCGGUCAAAAAGCCUGGGCCUCUCUCACCAGUCAAUAUGCCUGGGGGGAGCUGAGGCCCGUGGGAACCUAGUCAUAGUGUCAUAGGCAAGGAUGCUACUGGCACAGGGGUACAGAAAGGGGGACAACAUCAAUGUCAGGAAAAGGGAACAUUCGAGGGUCAACCAUUUUGUUAGUCCUGUCUCUUGCUUUCAGAUCCUGCUCUUGAAGGGAGCAGCAGGCUUUUCCCAAAACACAGAGAGCAGAACCACUCC
Non-coding RNA from Salmo salar (Atlantic salmon), 396 nucleotides. Lineage: Eukaryota; Metazoa; Chordata; Actinopteri; Salmoniformes; Salmonidae. The record is from RefSeq and is a predicted model, not a curated record.